CUGAAACCCAUCUCUUCUCUCAAAUCUAACCCUAAUCAAACGUCAUCGUCACUCAUCUAUGGCUAUCUAUGGUGGUUUUCUGCCACACCCAGUCCUCUUGUGGUCUCCCUCACGUUGGUAUUACCAUCCCCAGGGUCCUCAAGGUACCACAGUCAGCCGACUUACAUCUAUGGUCCCUUUCCAGCCUGUUUCAGACUAUUCCAGUGUGAUUCCGAGUAAGGUCGCCCUAUAUUAACUAUGACCUAUGCGUUUCUAACCAUGUUUCUUCACCUCUAUGUUGUUCUCUUCAAAACCCUAAUUUCUUUUUCUGAACCUCUUAGAUCUAUAAAAAUCUAAGAUGAUUUGGACUUGUUUCUUAUUUUGUUUUACAACAACCUUGAGAUUCUUUACGAGAAUCGUAUCAUUUUCCAGUGAUUUUCAUCUUUUUCUAAGCUAGAUUUUUCGGAAGUUUCUUUUACAAAAUGUUUGAUGAUUUCUGAGUGUUUGAUCUUAUGUUUUUCAAGCGUUUUGACUAAUUUUGUAAGUUUGCUACAACCUUAUCUCGCUUUUACUGAAAGUCCUAAUUUUUGACAUUCUUCGUUUAGUUUCUGAGUACUGGUGUACUGAUUGUGUUCUUGCUUUAGUUUUUGUGAUUUCUCAUGGUUUUUUCACCCUACUAUGCCUCUACUGAGAUUCUUAACUCAACUUUUCAAUGAUUCUAUAUGUUUGUGUUCAUCCUAACUAUUCAUUUCUUACCUUACCUUCUAAAUUUGCUGACUCUUUCAUGAUUUUCCCUCUAACUGAGCCCUAUUAGGGUUCUAACCUAAUUUUAUCGGACUAAGUUCUAUGUUUCUGUAAAUUUUACUUAGUAUAUUUUCUAUUUAUGGAAAUUGAUAUAUAUUCGUUCAAGAAAUCAACAUUACUUUAAAAUUUUGGCUAAUUGCUUACUCUGUUAAAGAUUGGUAUACAUAGACUUUAUUUGUUUCCUUAUUUAUAGCUUUAAUUGGCCGUCUCUGCCUUAAUUGCUUGCCCGUAUAAUUUUGGAAUUCUUACUGAUUCUUUAUUUGGUAUGGUUUGGUCUUUUUGCCUUAAUUAAACCCUUGUUGUUACUGUUUGGCUAAUUGCCGCUAAUUAAAUGAGUCUAUUCUGAACUCCUUAUAUGAUUGGAUUCUAAUUGCCCUUAAUUGCUAAUUUCUAAUUCUUUUACCUUAUUGACUCUACCCUCGAGCUUCUAUAUAAGCACUCUCUUAUUCUUACUUCAAAAUAGAAUAUUAGUUUACAAAAGCAUAUUUACACUGUAAAGCUAUCUUUUCUCUUAUACUAUUUGUGAUAUUCACUUAUCUAGCCGGCUGAAAGCCAAGGCUAGAUAUUGGAGCUUCAUCUGCUUUAUAUUCUGCACUCUUUUCUUCAACUGAUAUGUCUCUAGUUAAGUCUUGAAAUCCAAAUCCUAUAUGUUUUAUUUCUGCACUAGUUUAUCAGUUAUGGAUUCAACUUGUAUUCUUGCUUACUUCUUUGCUUAGAAUGUCUAAACUCUGUCCUAGUCAAUGUAUGCUUUAUAUUCUUUACUCUUUCCUACUUACUUCUUUGCCUAGAAUGUCUAAACUGUAUGUUUAAUCCUGUUCAAGACAUGUCAGGCUUCUUGUAUUACAACUAUGAUCUAGGUCUUAACUACUUGCUAUCUAUGAUUAGCCUGCUAAGUCUCUAAGACCCUAAGUGUUUUAUGUAGUUUGGUUGACUAUAAGUUCCCCCAUACCCUAUCAAUGUACCCCCCCAAUGUGACUCUUAUGUGCUCCAAUCCCUUUAUCCCCAUAUGAGAUCUGUUUGUUAAGUAUUUCCUAAAUCUGGAUGGUUUUACGACUAAUUGAAUAUGUUGUUUUGGUACUCUCCUCGAAUAUGCUUUUACCACCAAACUAUUUCUUGUUUCAGAAAACAUUUUCAACCAUCAAGUCAUCUCUGUGCUAUUUUCAAAAUCUUUUCAAAACUAUGUCAAGCACUCUUACUUCACUCUUAGAAUAUUAGGUUUUUCCCAUCUGAUAUAUGUACUGCCUUUAGAUCCUUGAGAUCUCUCUAAACUUUGGCAUGUUAGAUCUGGCCUUUCCAGACUACACCUACAAAAGUUCUUAUUCUAGAAAAGGUCUGAGUGUGAGCACUGCCCGAGAUCCUUGAGGUCCUUACGGAACUCUGACAAACCUAGACAUAGAAUUGGCUAUGAACUUUGAUGUUUGAGGCUACUUGAGGCUUAGAGAUCACUUGGGCCUACUUCAGGCUCCCUAUAAAUUAAUUUCUAUUUUAUUCAAUUCAUUAGUGUGUAAUAAUUAUUGUAAACAUACAAUGUAGUGAUUAGUGAAAUGGAAGGCUAGUUAUAUAUAUUGUGUAAAUCGGGUAGAUACCAUGCCUAUAGGAUGCAAAAAUAGAUUUAAUAAUAGAGAUCGUACCUAUAAGGUUAAAAUCAGCUAUAUAGAUACCAUGCUAAAGGGGUUUCAUAUUUGGUUAAAUAAAUGUUGUUUGCGUUACCUUAUGCUUAGUUAAAAAUCAUGCCUAUAGGACUUAAAUUAGUUCAGUUGAAUGAAUCAGUUCAAAUUUGUGUUUAUAUAUUCUGAAUCGACUUAAAUAUAUAAUAUGUUCGUUUUCUUUAAUAAGUUUUCAAAUACUGCCUUAAAUUAGUACCACUAGAAAAUAUGUCUAUAGGAUCUCAAGUUAUCCGUUUAAAAAUUGUUCAUUGUUUUUACUGCAUUCCUAAUCUAUAUAGAUAUCAUGCUCUUAAGAAGUCAGUGUUAUGUAUUUAGGCAAGCCUAUAUGGUGAUUAAAAUCCUGCAACUAUAAAACUGUGCUCUGUCGUUUAAGACUGCUCACAUUCAACAGGUCUAAAAUCAGUAAGUAAGUUGAACAGGUCUUUAACACUGUGUCUUAAUUCAUUGUUUUAUAAUUCAUGCUCACCUAGAUAUCAUGUUCUAAGUUUUAUUAAAUACCUGAAACAAUUGUUUGAGACAUGCAUUUAUUUGUUUUGCUUGUGCAGGUGAAAAUGUGAGCCUUUACUUAUUCCUCCUUUAAGUGCAUUCCUAAUUGUUUUGAUUGACGCCCACACUUUUCUCCUUUAAAUUCCUCAAGAUGGUCUAGAAGUACCUAAAACUAGAAGUCCUAAAUACCUCCAGGUCCACGAGGAAGGGACGGGUAGUGCACGCAUAGGAUAUUUAUCAAGGUUUUUAGAAUGCUUAGGCUAUGAUCAAUGGGAGGGAAUUGGGUAGUAAGGAUAUGAUUACUACGUGCUAAUGUCACGUGUAACCCCGUAUUGAGGAGUGAGUACUGGGCCUUGUGUGGGGUGAUCCUGUAGUCUAACCAACCUAGGACCCCUCUUUCCCAAUUCCCAUUGUUUAAAUUUUACUUUCUCUAUAUAUGUGCAACUUGUUCAAGUCUUUUCCAUUUUGUUUCAUUACUUGAGUCAUACAAUGUCAAAACAUGCCUUUAUUUGCAAGUGUGUGUUAAAACUAUUUGCUUGUUAAAAUGACUAAUUCACAUAAAUAUAAGUUUGACCGAGAUCCACCGUUGUGGACUGAGAAGGGUGACUAACACCUUCCCCUCAAGGUUAUUUUGAGCCCUUACCUUAUAUAUCUGGUAAUGCAAACUAGUCCAAGAGUUAAUUUCUCUAGGUGCCCUAAUGCACCAUAAUCCGUUAGGUGGCGACUCUUCAAAUACCCGAAUACGAAAAGCAAAUGAGUUAUUACCCCCAUGAACGUUGGAACCUGGACUUCUCUCUACGGAGGGAAAAAGGGAGCGCGGCAUCAUGGCAAACUCUGAUGGGGAUACAUUUAGGAUUAGUCCAAGCAUGCCUUAUCCUGUAUCCUUUCCCCUUAUAUGAAUUUAACUUUUUAUGUCUUUAAAAGCAUUUAUAAUUCUUUUAUUCCUAAAAAUAAUUUAUCUCCUUGUUUUCUUUUUCUAUAAUUGCCUUUCAAUUAUUUAAAUACUGAAUUUAUUAUUCUUACGUGCAAAUACUUGACUACAUUCUAUUUAUUACUGCAUAAAUCAUGCUUCACAUCAUAUUCCACUCGUGCAUAUUUAAUCCUAUUGCAACGCUUGAUGAGUGGUUGCGCUCUUCCUAUUUAUUACACUAAAAUUCGAAAAGGCUUAUUUGUGGUAAAACUAGUCGAUCAGCGGUACAGUCGACGGUUUUUGCUUUUCCAUACCAGUCUAGACCCUAUAGUAACUGUGACGGCCCGGUUGGUUGUCUUAAAUAUUUACACUCCGAUCCCCUAUUAACUGCUUUCCCUAAGUUCAUUUUUGCUAUUUUGGUUUGCCGGGAUGUUCGGGAGUUUUAGAGAGUUUUGGGACAGUUAGUCCUUAAAUGAGAGCUUAAGUGUUGAAAAGUGGUCCAUAAUCAGAUGAGUGUGAAGACAACCUCAAAAUGGAAAUCUGAUGGUUCUGUUAGCUUCGUUAGGUGAUUUAGGGGUUGAUAGGGUGAUAAGAAUGCAUUUUGGAAGUCUGUAGCUCAUUUAGGCUUGAAAUGCCGAAGUUGAGUUUUUGAAGUUUCCGGUCCUAUAGUGAGUUUUUGAUCCGAGGGUCAGAAUGGCAUUCCAGAAGUUGCAAUAGCACCGACAUGCCAUUUUGUAUGUGUGUGCAAAAUUUCAGGUCAUUCAGACGUAUUUUGGUUAGGUUUUUUUAUCGAAAGCGUGUUCUGAUGAAAUUUGAAAUUCUUAGGCUGAAAUCCUUGAUUAAUUCGAGUUUGCGGCGUUGUUUUAGGUGGUUUAAGGAUUGGUACAAGCAUGAAUGAUGUAUGAGGUGUUGUUGGUACUCUUGGUUAAGGUCCCGAGGGGGCCCAAGAUGAUUUCGGAUGGUGAUGGGAAGAUCAGAGAAGUGUUGCAGCAGCUGAAGCAUUGCUGUUUCUGGUAUUUUUGCAUAUGUGGCUCAAGACAGAUGCGGCGCCGCAGAAGCGGCUAAACGGUCGUAGACCUAAUUUUGGUAUUUAGCCUGAGGGGCAUUUUGGAUAUUUUACCUAAUUUCGCACAUUAGUUUUGAAUUUAAUCGUAAAAUCAGUUGCUUGAGAUGUUAUUUACGAUAUGUAAUUGAAUUGAAUAUUUGGGGCAUUUGGAGUCAGAUACCUGUGGAAAAAGUGUAGUUUCAAGUUAAAUUUGGUGCCAGUUUGAGGUAAGUGGCUUGUUUAACCUUGUGUGGGGGAGUCCUUCCCCUUAGGACAUGAUGUUUGGUAUUUGUAUUCCUCGUACGUGAGGUGACGAGCGCGUACUUGAGAAAAUUAUUGAAAAUCCAUUUUAACUUGAAUAUUUAAAUCGAUUUUUCUUGCUUACCUAUUUAUUUUAAAUUGCAAGUUUAUUCUAUGAUAGUUUAGAGAAGCAUGUUCUUUUGACUUACUUGCCUAAGUGCUUAAACUGUCUUGUUUGUGCUCAGUGUAGUAUGUUUGGCUAAGAUUUUCUAUUUCUUGUCCUGAGUUUAGUAUCUAUCCUAAUGUUUGGGUUGAUAUUGUGUGUUUUUAAAUUGGGACUACGGGUUGGCCUCCCGGACAGAGGGUGCAGGAUAGCCAGAGAUCCCUGACACAUGAAAUUGUAAGUUUUGAGGAUACCAAGAGAUCAUCGAGAUACCUAGAGAUCCCUGGCACAUGAAAUUGUAAGUUUUAAGGAUACCAAGAGAUCCUCGGGAUACCAAGAGAUCCUUGGCACAUGCAAUUGUAAGUUUUGAGGUUACCAAGAAAUCCUCGGAAUACCAAGAUAUCCUUGGCACAUAAAAUUGUAAGUUUUGAGGAUACAAGAGAUCUUCAAGGUACCAAGAGACCCCUCAUGUAUGGGUUGAGGAUACCAAGAGAUCCUCGGGAUACCAAGAGAUCCCCGGUUGUGGUUCCUGUUGUGAUCAGUAUUUACUAGUAUUGACCUGUUCUUCUGCUUUCUUUUACGAUUUCCAUUUUUAUCUUGUUUAGAUUCUCGCCGUACACUUUAUCUAUACUGUUUAUCCCCCAUCUUGUUAUUUAUUAUGUUAUAACUCAGUAGGGCCCCGACCUUUCCUCGUUACUACUUAACCGAGGUUAGUCUUGGCACUUAC
Molecule: long non-coding RNA, 6021 nt
Filed under: Nicotiana benthamiana
Lineage: Eukaryota; Viridiplantae; Streptophyta; Magnoliopsida; Solanales; Solanaceae
Description: long non-coding RNA (NBEN_LNC024869)
Source: RNAcentral